Molecule: non-coding RNA, 5144 nt
Organism: Punica granatum (pomegranate)
Lineage: Eukaryota; Viridiplantae; Streptophyta; Magnoliopsida; Myrtales; Lythraceae
Source: RefSeq, a predicted model, not a curated record
UGGAUCUGAUGAUGCUCGCAAAAGGAAAAUUGACGGCAUGCUGGAGUGAAUGAAGGAGCCAGCCUUUCAUCUACAAAUUGAAAACGGAAGCUUGAUUAACUUGUACAUUUAUCCUUUUGCCUUUUCUGUUUGGAUUUGGAUCUAGAGUUCUUCAGGAAGUAGCUUUUAAGGUGGUCGAUUGACCUUGAAAACGAUAUGGUGUCAAGCAAUGAAAAUCUGCUUAGUGUACUAGUAAACUGACAUCACAAUAUCCAGCAGUGUGUUUCUCCACCCAGAUAUUAGUGGAGAAUUUACUGAUGAAACUGAGAAGAGCUACGAAGUCUAUGCAUCUCAAAUCCCUCGAGGAAAGUUUCUGCCACAGUGCUCAUGGUUUUCAAAUUGAGCACUCCCUAAUGUUUUUGUUUAUGUACUGUUAUGGAAUAUGUUGUCCUAUGAAGUAUAGAUACUUCUGCAUAUUGAUUCAAAUACAUCUUUUGUUUCAUAAUAGUUUUUCUACUUGGAUAGUUUGUUCUUCAAGAGCAGUUUCAUGGGAACUUCACUGGAUUUUAAAUUAAUAGCCAAUAUAUCACUAUCAGUCCAAUGAUUAGAUUUCUAUUGGAUAUGUAGGUUUCACCACUUUCCUAGAUAAAUUAACCCCUCAAAUUCUCCCUUGGUGGCUUGGACACUAUAAAAAAUUUUCAGAUUAUCUAGUAUGUAUCUGGUAUAACUGUGUGUUGGUUUGCAAGGAAACUAACAUUUAAGGCUGGAGAAUACUGGCAGGCCAAAAGAAGAAGUGAUCAAUGAUGUCAUGUGGAGAGCAUAGAAGGAGUAUGCGGAUUCUUGAACUAGGACAAAGAAAGGUUCAAAAGGCAGUUAACAAGGAGAAACCUGAGAUCAGUUUCGGCACUUCUGAAGGUCAAUCUAGUCAAAGGCAGAAGGAGAAAAUCAAACCUAAGUUAGGUCAAUCAUGCCUCAAGCAUCAGAGCUACAAAUUCCGGUGAAGCAGUUGCAGUGUCAUCUAAUACUCCAUUACCUCCAACCAGUGCUCUUGAACUGUUACUUGAUGUGCUGCAAAGCAUGACAUUUUCCAAGUAUUCAGCAACGCUAUGCUUUUCAAUGAUUGCAGGAUCGUCUUUUUUAUAAAGGCCUGUGCAGCUAGAGAUGUUGCCAAAAAGUUAUUUGUGAAUUUUCUGAAUCAUGGACUAUGAAGCUAAUUUCGGAUGGAGCUGGUGGCACUUAGGGAUCUGAUAACUGCAGUUAAGUAAUUAGAGGUAUUCAACAUAUGAGAGGAUAAUGAUGGAGUAUAUGUAACAAUUGAAGGAAUUUGGAAUGCUAGUCGCAAAGGCAGCAUGUUGAAUUUUACAAGUGGUUUGGGCCCAGUAGCUCUGAUGUUGGCUCAGAGUAUGUUGGAUAUAUAAUGGACCUCCGAAAGUUUCAUGGAUACCGAGCUUUUAACCACCAGAAAGUUUCAUGGACAGCAUAUCCUGGAAGCAGGAUGCCCUAUUCUGUCCAUCAGAAUCCCUUUGGAAGCAGUAUGAGGACUUCCGAUCAGAACCCAGUUUGUAACCACCAGCAAGUUGCAGCGCAGCAUCUACUGGAAGCGGGAAGCUUCCUUCUGUCUAUGAGAAUCCCAUUGGGAACCCUGCUGUCAAGUUAAUCUUCAAAUUCAAAAUCUUUCCGGCAUAAGUUCUUGGUGCUGUCAAGUUCUGCCAUCGAUAGUGAAUUCAUGAUUGUGAUAAUAAAGUUAGGUUUCAACAGAUUAUUCCAACAAUUGUGUUCAUUUAGUAAUGUUCAUCUUUAGUAAUUAAGAAUGGUCUUAGAGUACAUUGUAUAAAAAUUUAUCGUUCGAGCAUAUAAAAACUAGUCGGUGGUUUCAAACAAGGAUAAUUAAGAAUUUAGUAACUAAUUUUGAGAUGGAUGAUUAUUAUCUGUCGUAUUCUUCUUGUUGGUAUCAUUGUUACAAUGUAGUCAGAGAUCCAGAACAGGGAUAGAAUUUGAGUUCUACUUGAUAGGAGCCCUCUUGAAGAAUUAGCUGAAUUUCUAGAUGAGACAUUUCUCGAUAUUUCUCUAUGGCAGAACAUGUUUGUCGAAUCUCGAUGUUAAUCCUCGAGUCAGUAGUAGACAUACCAGUUAAUAACUCUGUUGUGUUGGUGAAUCUAUGUUCGUUAGCCUCGCAAAGAUGUUGAAAUGUAAUUAUCGACAUAAAAUUCACCGCUAUUAAUUGCACCCUAUUCUUUUCGCAAUAAAUCGAUUUUUGCUGUCGAGUUCAGGCAUUAUAUGUUAUGGGAAAUUUAAGUAUUAUUCUUAGUUGGCAUAAUAAUACAUAUCUACCAUUCAUUCAUAUCUACCAUUCAUUGAAGGUAAAACGUCAAUCGUACUUUCCUUCCAUAUGUUAUGCAUGACGACUUUCUAUUUUGGCAAUACAUACCAUUUAGAGGGAAGAAUUGAUGUUUGAAAUAUGUUUUGUUCAAUUUGAAAUCAGUUUACUCCAACUAAUGAAAUUUCCAUAAGCCAGUUGAUCUGUACUAUUACAUUUUUGGCAAUAUGCAGGUAUAGUCUUACUCGAAGGAUAUGGAUACGGCCUUUUCUCUGCAGUUCUUCUGCUGAACAGUACAUGGACCUGAGCCAAAGUUCUUGUCCUUAACCAACUCAGGCCGUGGCCUGCCGGCCCAGAACCACCUCCGUACCUCCAGCCCGAUUGGUAGACCUGUUGAGCUCUAUCAUUGCCAGAAGUUGGAUGAAUCCUGAAGGCAAUUUCAGCUCUACGACUUGAUCUCAUCAUAUCGUGAUUGCGCCAUGGAUAAAGAGAUUGUGAACCGCCACCAUUUGUUGCGGGCAGUGUUUGUUGUAUUCCGAAAUCUAAAGAUUUCAUUUCUGGUGCUCUAUUAAGGUUAAUGACCUGCAUAUUCAUCUACGUCAGGUUCGACAAGUAUCUCUCUCUUGGUCCAUUCUCGAUCUUCCAUGCGGAGGAGGAAGAUGUGGUCAAGUUUGUAGAUGCAGAAACCGGGAAAGGAAAACCAAAAGGAGCUGCAUAAGGACUGUGAGAUGUUUCUGCAACAUGGUUAGACAGAUUUCCCUUAAAAACCCCUUGAAGUACGGACUCCAAACCCUUCAUGAACUCUAGCAACCUCGUUUUAUACCCCAGAUGAUCUCUGUUAUAAUUCUAGCAAGCUCUCCUUAUUCCCCAGAUCCUCUCCGUAAUUUCACCAGUUGUAGCACAAACUUUGACACGGAGGCUAGCUCUCCUUAUUUGCAGAACUUGCAAGCUCCAGAACCUCACGGAAGUACAGCCUCUCCAGUUACGACAAUAUGCAUAUAAGUAAUUGUCAACAUUUCUCGUAUGUGGUCAAAUCUAACGAGUUUACCAUCAAAAGGGAAAAAAAAAAAAUCAAAGCCCCGCACAAAGAACCAUUGCAGCAAUAUCUAUAUAAGGUGCAUGAUGGAGCUAUACAAGAGACGUCGCCAAAUGGUAGGCGUCUCUUCAACGAAGCUACACAAUACAAGAUAUCUUUAAGAAGGUGUUCAUGAAUUGUUUGCCGCUUCAUCUACUGAAUACUGAAAGUGCAAAGAGAGAAGUCGAGCAAUCAUGGCAAGCGGGGAGCGUAGGAGUGCAGAAUUCUUGAAAUAGAAGCAAAGAAAGGCCCAUGAAGCAGUAAAGAAGAAGAAUCGAUCAAUCCAACAAUGAGGAGGGGCAGUCGAGCCAAAGCCCUGAUAGAAAAGAUAAAAGACAGAUCUCUGCAAGAUUUUGCUGUUAAUCCACUCAAACAGCAGGAUCCUAGAAUUGAUCUAGAUGUCAAACGAAAAUAGAAAACACAGUACAAAGAUGUGCCAUCUUCGAUCUUUUCCCUUCCUUGCUUGGUGAGAGUACGGCAAUUCAGCUCAGCUAUUCGGAGCGGCUCAAAAGCUCUACUGCAAGCCAACUGAAGCUCUACUAAUUACAGAGAUCAUCUGGGGUAUAAGGAGAGGUUGCUGGAGUUCAUUAAGAGUUUGGAGCCGGUAUCUCAAGGGGUUUCACGGGAAAUCUGCGUGACCAUGAUGCAGAAACCUCUCAUAGUCCUUAGGUGAGCUCAAAUAAUCAACCAAAAAGAAGUUCUGGUAAUCUUGUUCCACAAUGUUCAGGAAGGUGGGUAUUCUCUGCUGCUUUAAUGAACCCAGCGAGAAUUCUCGGAGAUUCACAAGUAACAGGUGGGCACUAUAAACAUAAGUAAAGGUGGAGAAAAACCGUGCGUAUUUGCUGGAAGGAACUUUGGCCACGGUCAAAGCUCAGGAGUUGCUCCAAGGGGAACUCCAAUAGAAAAUUCGGGUGGCUACGUUGGGGAAGGCGUUCAUUCCAUGAACAAAUGGUCAGAGCUUACUAUGGGCUUCCCACAAGGACAUGGGUUAUGCAGCUCCUUUUGGUUCUCCAUUCCCGGUCUCUGCAUCUACAAACUUGAUCACAUCUUCCUCCUCUACAUGGAAGAUCGAGAAUGGACCAAGAGAAAGAUACUUGACGAACCCGACACAGAAGAAUAUGCAGGUCAUUAACCUUAGUAGAACAACGGAAAUGAAAUCUUUAGAUUUGAGAAUAGAACAAACUCUGGCUAUAGCAAAUUGUCGUGGUUCACAAUCUUUUUAUCCAUGGCACACUCAUUAUAUGAUGAGAUCAAGUCGUAAUCGAGGUGCUGAAAUUGCCAUCGGCAUUCAUCCAACUUCUGGCAUUGACAGCUCAAAAGGUCUACCAAUCAGGCUGGAGGUACGGAGGUGGUUUUGGGCAGGCAGGCUAAGAUUUGAACUGGUUAAGGACGACAACUCCGAGGCCUCGGCCAUUCAUGAGCCAUCCACGUCGGCCAGCAGCUCACCGAAUAGAGAUCCACUUCUUAGGACCACCUGGGACGUUGCGCCAACAGCAAAGCCAACCUUCUACUUCUGGUGGCCUGGUCGAGAUUGUGUCAGGUUCUAGUGAUAAUGCUGCAUAUGAGUGCCGACGAUCUCCCCUGGUGAUCCCUUUUGCGAGCCUUGUAUUUUACUUUUUUUCAACUUUGUAAAAAUGCUAAAACUGUUGCAUAUGCUAAAAGAGAUAUGAUCCGACAUCUCUUGUUGUUAAGCCUUUUGGCGUUCCAUUACAUGCAAUACGUUGUUGAUGACAUGCUACUCUUCUUAUGAAUGAAAGAGAACCGUCCCUAACA